UGGGGAAUCUUGCACAAUGGGGGAAACCCUGAUGCAGCGACGCCGCGUGAGCGAAGAAGCCUUUCGGGGUGUAAAGCUCUUACGCCAGGGACGAUAAUGACGGUACCUGGAGAAGCAGCUGCGGCUAACUACGUGCCAGCAGCCGCGGUAAUACGUAGGCAGCAAGCGUUGUUCGGAAUUACUGGGCGUAAAGGGCGCGUAGGCGGCGCGGUAAGUCACUUGUGAAAUCUCUGAGCUUAACUCAGAACGGCCAAGUGAUACUGCUGUGCUAGAGUGCGGAAGAGGCAACCGGAAUUCUUGGUGUAGCGGUGAAAUGCGUAGAUAUCAAGAGGAACACCUGAGGCGAAGGCGGGUUGCUGAGCCGACACUGACGCUGAUGCGCGAAAGCCAGGGGAGCAAACG
Molecule: ribosomal RNA, 402 nt
Filed under: uncultured bacterium
Lineage: Bacteria
Description: bacterial SSU rRNA
Rfam family: Bacterial small subunit ribosomal RNA
Source: RNAcentral